GCAAAUGUUUGUUGAAAUAAGUGGAGAUUUCCUGGUUUUCUUUUUUGGAGGAAAAAAAAAAGGAAAGAAACAAAGUUUCUUUAUAGGAUGGGCUCAGGGUGUUUUGCAAUUACCCUUACUUGUGCUUGAGCUCCUUUUUCCCCUUGUUGAGUAGGAACAGACAAUGUUUUCCAUUCCAGUUUCUUCUUACAGUUGCAGAGUGGGUGCCGAUGGGCUCAGUGUUGUGGCUUUUACUGGUCAGCCAAAUAUCACAGCUAGAAUGGAUGGUGGAAAGCAUUAUGGACAACACCCGUGACUUGUCACAUGGACAUUUGCUUUUCACACCAUUAGGAGAGGUGUAGACUGACCAGGAGAAGAGAGAGAUCGUUUGGUCAGCUCCUUGGUCAGUGCUGUAAUAUGAGCACAUCAAGUUACAUCUGUCAGUAUUUCCUGCGGGCGCAGCAGAGAACGGGAACAGUACAAUUCAUCAGCUUCAGUAAAUAUACCUUCCACAUGUAAUUGUCAAGGGGGAAAAACACUGUUGUGAUUAUUUAGUUUACAUUUCCUUUAGGAUUACGGUGUCACCUCAGAACGCUACAGUGUUUUCAUUUUUAAAAAGGAGGCUGUGUGUAUAUUUUUCCUUUUGUAAUUUUCAUUAUUUUUUUUAGCUUCUUUGUUAACUUUAAAAGCUUGACCCGUGAUUAUAACAACUCUGCCAACACAUCAACUCAUCAGUAAAUAGUGUUCUGCCAGGUUCAAGCUUUCUCUGUAUGUUUGUCUGAUCUCUUUAUGUAUAUGUGAGUUUCCUCAGAUCACCCACCACAGCAAGGACAUUCAUGUUGGUUUGAGACUACUCUUACUGUGGCCUUCAACACACAAAUUAAAAAAAAAAAAAAAUCGUGGAUGUUUUCUUUUAACUGUACACAGCCCUGCAGCUUCAGCAACAUAUGGUAUUUCUAUGCAUUUACCAUCAAGCUAGCAGUGAGCAUGUUUUUAUUCCUGUGCAAAGCAUCUGGGUUAAUCUCAUAUUAGUCAAGAAGGAUCAUUCUCACAAACAGUCUUAGACUUGUUUCACAGAACUAUGCUCUAAAUUAAAUACAUGGCGUCAGUGGAUUAGUGUGUAUCGCUUUGGAAAUCCAGUAAUAAGAAGAAGCUAAAAAUUAAUUUCUGUUUCUUUUUAAAUAUUAAUAUGCUUGAAAAAAAAACCCACUGGGAAGCAGAUUGAAUUCCUAGAAUUCAGGGUUUUUACGAUUGCGUGCAGAAUAUUUGAUUAACCACUAUGACAGCCUUUACAGUUUAUUGUCAUACAGUUUGUCUAUAAUUAAUUAGAUAUCUAAUCAGGACCCAAUUCAAAUUUUCCAGUGGAAAGUUAUUAAGUUAUUAAGCUUAACAUUUUGAUUUUACUCUGACUUUGUGCUCUAAAAGUUUUGCAUCACGCAUCUUGUCUCCUGCUAUUUAUUGUCUAUAUAUAGUGUACUUCAUGUGUUAAUGUUAUUUGGCGUGUCCUGUGGUUUGCAUUAUUCCGCUAGACAUUCCUCCCCCAAUCACAGGCGGCGCAUCCCGUAGUUGCUCUGUUUUACUUUCAUACUGAAAUGUAUUUAUUUGAAGAGGAGCAGCAGGUCGCAGGGACAUCUGUUGCGCUAAUGUCCAACAGAGUAAACAAUAUGUUUUGAAUUACUGUAAGAUUUGACCUUAGAAUAAGCCUUAUCUUAUGUAUAAAUCAUAGUGAGUUCAAUAUGCUUUGUAAGUAGAUUAGUUCAUCUGGAGUCCCCCCCUCCUUCCCCAUAGACAGUCUCUCCACCAUGAGGGCCUAGAGAUGUAAUCCAGAUUCAUAAUCCAAUGAUUCUUACAAGCUGUUUUGUGUUGUUAAAUACUGGGUGUUUGUGUUGAUUUAAUAUCAUUCUAAUCUCCUUUAAACUGCCAGUUGCUGUCUGGUUCAUAGCCAUCUUGUUUAUUGCUUGC
Archocentrus centrarchus (flier cichlid) is the source of this 1941-nucleotide long non-coding RNA. RefSeq lists it as uncharacterized. Lineage: Eukaryota; Metazoa; Chordata; Actinopteri; Cichliformes; Cichlidae. The transcript has 3 exons. The record is from RefSeq and is a predicted model, not a curated record.